UCCCCCAUCAGCCGUUUAGUACCCUCCCUUCGGAUACACGUACUAUUCACACAAGCACACACACAGUAUCUACUCUCACUUCAGCUUACUUCAAUGUUCUAUUAAGCUGGCUUUAAUUAUUGCGAAGUAUCUGUAAAUUUAUAUUGGAAGAGUAAAAAGAUAUUAAUGCCGUCAAAGAUGAGAAAAUUAACAUUUUUUUGUGAGUUUUCAGCUUUUUUAGUUUUGGAGGUACUUAAUAUUUCAUGCAUUUGUCAUCAAUUUUAUUCACAUGGGCACUGAGUUUGAUACUAGUACUUUAGGCAAUGCAAUAGUUAUAAUUUAAUAGUACUCUCUCUAUCAGAUUAAUUCUGAUGGAAAAGGAUAUUAAAGUUAUUGUUAAAACUAAAAAUUUAGUUUCCUAGAGAAAACAUCACGUCAUUUACAAUUUAAGUAGUCUAAGGAAUUUGAAUUCUUGAACGCGUGAAAGUUAUAAACAAUGAGAUGAUGUUAAACAUUUUGGGACAUUCCAAAACGACAAGAGGGACACAUAAAUUGGGAUAGAAAACGCAGAGGAAUUAUUGAUAGCCUACAAGGGCAAUCUUCUAGAUUUAGGAGAAGAGUAAAAAUGUUCUUUGAGAAUUUACCAGAAUUUUUUUUCUUUUUAAGUAAUAUAUGUUGCCGAUUUUGCUAGGCUUCAAGCUUCCCUGUUAUUGACUCAAGGUUUAAAGACGCCAUACUAUUUGCAAAAAUGUCAUGCUAGUGUGAUUACAGUCAAAUUGUUUUGAGUUCUCUUCUUUUGGCGCUGCUACUAUUCUGUCCAUCUAUUUUUCGGGCAAUUCUUCGGCCAGAUCUAUCUCCAUCGAAAUCUAUUAGUAAGUUCACUUAUGGUCUGUUUCGCUUUCUUCUCUAGGAUUCCUAUUCUCUGAUUAAACAAUAACAACAAUAACAACCCAGUAAAAUCCCACUAGUGGGGUCUGGGGAGGGUAGAGUGUAUGUAGACCUUACCCCUAACCCAAGGGGUAGGGAGGCUGUUUCCGGGACACCCUCGGCUCAACAGAGGAGACAAUAAUAUCAGAAAAGAAGAAAAGAAUAAAUCCGUAACAACAAAAGAGACCAGAAAAAUAAUAAUCAGCAUCGAAAGAGACAACAAAUAAGUGGAAGGGUAAUAACCCAAUGCUAUGCAAAAUGAGAAUCCUAUUCUCUGAUUCUAGUGAGAAAAAAAAUCCUAGCCCCCUUUUACAAUUAUUUUUAGUGAUGUAGUACGGCUUAUGAGCUGCAGUGUGUGCUUCUCUGAGUUUUUAUUUUCACAAUUUAUUUGCAUUGUCAUUUGUAUUCUAUGUGAUAUUGGCUCAUGAAUUAUGAUGUUCUAUAUAUCUGCUUUUAAUUAUUGCAAAGUCUCUGUAUACUUAUAAUGGAAUGAGGAAAAGAGAUGAAUGUCGUCAAAGAUGAAAUUGCAUGCUGUCGUCAUCAAUUCUAUCCACACUGGCCACUUGAGUCUUGAAGUUUGUAUGUUAGCAGAUGUGAAAAAUACUAUCUUAAUAAUAAAUACCCCUCCGUCAUAUAUUUUUGAUGGAAAAAUAUUAAAUUCAUGGUUAAAAAGUUAGUUUAAUUGGGGAAAACAUAUUAUCAAACUUAAAUUUGUGUAGUUUAAGGAAUAUGAGUUCUUGAUAGUGUGAGAGUUAUAUAAAAAUGAGAUGAUGUUAAACAUUCUCGGCCUUUCCAAAAUGAAAAGAGGGACACAUAAAUUUAGAUAGAGGGAGUAAACUUUUGUGUUAUCAUUGAACUUUAAUGGCAAAAUGUUACUUCAUUUUGGAUUGAUUUAUAGAUCAGUUUCCCUUGGCAUUUAUAUCUUUUCAAAUUUGUAGGUCUCAAACACAACACAAUAGGUUAUUCUAUUCGUUAAUUUAUUUGAGGGGUAAUAUUUAUUCACCUUUUUUUUCCAGGGAAGUUAAGCUUGGAGAAAGCAUGGGUAGCUUCUUUGUUCCACCUCCACCUAUCUUUGACUUUGAAUAGCUUUUUUCAAAGUUUUUCUCUUAAAACUCUCUGUAAGUCUUUCUGGCCGCUGCCUGUGAACAGAUUGAGAAGGACUCAUGACCGCGAUCCAACUAUGUGAAUCGGUUGUCGAUUUCUUCAAGUCCAUUGGAUUCACAGAUGCACAAAUCCAAUCCGCUGUUCGUAAUGUCCCGCAAAUCCUCCUGGCCGAUGUUGAAAAGACACUCAAGCCAAAGAUCCAACUAUUACAAGAAUUGGGUAUCACUGGUUCUGAUCUGGGUAGGCUACUUUCCACAAAGGCAAUUAUAUUAACACGUAGUGUGGAAAAAAUACUAAAGCCUUGCAUUGAAGUUCUCGAUAAAGUCCUUAUCAACGGUACUGAUAAUGGUGAUUGGUUCCGGGUUCUGCGAAGGUGCGAUUGGGUUGUUACACAAAUCCCCUCACUUGAGACUGAUUCCUAAUAUUUCAUAUCUGGAGAGCAUUGGGAUUGUUGGGUCUCAACUAUCAUCACUCUUGAAGAGGCAACCUCAUCUUUUUGCUUUGCCUGAAUCUGAGCUUAAAAAGCUUGUCUCUAAACUUAUAGAUAUCGGAUUUUCUACUGAUUCAAGAAUGUUGGUGCACGGCCUUCAUUCGUUAGGUUGUAUUAGUCAUGAGUCUUUUUCAAGGAAAUUGCUUUUGCUUCAGAGUUCUGGUUUCUCCAUAAAUGAGUGCAUGGAGGUGUUUAGGAGGGCGCCAAGUUUAUUCCGAAGUUCAGAGGAGAAAAUAAGACUCGGACUAGAAUUUUUCUUGGAAACAAUGGAGUUAAAGAAGUCAACUUUAGUACAGCAUCCUACACUUUUGAUGUUUAGCAUGGAGGAUAGAGUGAUUCCCAGAUAUCAAGUUAUUCAGCUGAUAAAGUCAAGAAAACUUGUGAAGAAAGAGCCAAGUUUUUAUUAUGUGAUGUGUUUGUCGGGGCAUGUGUUCUUUGAAAAGUAUAUAUCGAGAUUUACUGAAAAUGCAGAGGAAUUAUUGAUGGCUUACAAGGGCCAUCUUCUAGAUUUAGGAGAGGAUUAAGAAUGUUAUGUUGAAAAUUUUGCCGGCAUUUUCUUUUCUUUUUUGAUCUGUAAAUUUUGCUACUAGGAGUUGCCUACUAUUGACAAAAAUAUCAUGCUAGUGUGAUGACUAUAAAGGGCAGUCUGAUGCACUAAGCUCCCACUAUGCGCGGGGUCCGGGUAAAAACCGGAUUACAAAGGUCUAUCGCACACAGUCUUACCCUUCAUUUCUGUUAGUGUGAUAACAAUCUGGAAUAAAAAUGGUUGUGACAGAUCUCAUUAUGGUUAUAGCCUUCGAAAGUGCAUAGUGAAGGUGCAGUCUGAACAUGGAAAAUACUGGAUCACCUACCUAAUGUCACCUUAAAUUUUAUUUUGUUGAGUUCACAAUUCUAUUUCUAUUUGUUACUUUGACGAAAAAUGAUGCCUUCUGUGUGAUAUGGGAGGAGGCCUUGAACCAAAUGGGUACUCACUGUUAUACUCCCUUAAUUUCAAAAAUAAUAGGCGCUAUUUCCUUAUUAGUCCGUUUCGAGAAGAUUGACACAUUCCUAUAUUUCUUUAAUGGGAAGCAUUUAUGGUCACACAAAUGUUAUGACUUGGUUAAGAUCACAAGUUUUAAAAACUUUAAAGCCACACAAAUGUUAUAACAUAUUUAAGGCCACAAGUAUCAAAAAAUUUCUUCUCUUUAUUAAAUUUUGUGUCAAGUUAAACUAGAACAAACAAAUUGAAAUGGGGGGAGUAACAAUUAGAAUAUCUUUUUUUUUUUUGGGUCUAAUUCUUGGUGUGCAGAGUUAUCCUGUACGUAUUUUAGUAUAAAUGACACCAGGUAGCCACUCUAAAGAGCUGCUAUUUAGAAAUUAGCUAGUGCGUCUUGAAUUUUAUUUUUUCAGUUUAAUUUUUCAAAAUAAAAAUGUCCUGAAUUGUCCUGAAGUUAAGCUUUUUAGUUUAAAAUUUUAUGACAAAAAUAAGUACCGAAUAAUCUCUAGAUUGCAUACCUGAGAAUGACUAUAGAAUAACAGGAACUAAUAGAAUAAUUAGAGUGUGUGAAAGCUAGACCCGCCGCCAUCAUAAAAAACAAUAUCAUGCUAAGGAAAAAGACACUAACUAAAAAGGAAGGAGUAAAGGCUAAAGAUAUCAUGUCAAGUAAAGCCGUUUAGAUAUCUAUUACAAGGACAGUGUUUUGGCUGUCUCUCUUUUUUGGACUAUAACAGCUGCUGAAACUGACGGCCCAGAAAGGAAGAGAAAAUGAAGAAUCUCUUGGAAGGGUAUGAUAAAAAGAACAAAGAAAAGUUGGAUAAGUUUCAAAUUACAUAGCAAAAAGUUGGCCUUUUGCAAUGAUGAAUGUGGACAAGAGUGUUAUUUGGAGUGUUUGAAGCUUUUUGGAAUCAGAAAAUAAGCAAAAUUACUGACUUUAAGGUGCAUUAUAUCAGGAAAAAGAAGAAGUCUUGGGAAUGUAUGAACCAUUACUUCAUCUAUAUCUCAAACUAGAGAAAACAUAAGAUGAUGGAUGAAGCUUAUCAUGCUGGAAAUUAUUUUUCCUUCUAACUACUUAGGAUUUGUCUUUCUUUUAAUUAAUGUGAUGCUUAUGUUUUCCUGAGCCGAGGAUUUAUUGGAAACAACCUCUCUACUUUCACAAGGUAGGGGUAAGGUCUGCGUACACACUACCCUCCCCAGACCCCACAAUGUGGGAUAAUAUUGGGUAUGUUGUUGUUGUUGUUGUUGUUGUUCUAAUUAGUUAUGAUUAAAAUGUGGUUGUCUCAAUCAUAUUUGAUAUUAAGUUCACAUAGGGAUAUAAUUUUGAGAUUUAAAAAACUUCUAGUUUUAAAGAAAUUCUAAUUGCCUUAUAGAACAAAAUAUAUUUGAUGUUUAAUUUUUUUUAUUUCUUUCCGUUCUUGCAAGAUUUACACCCUUGGCACAACACUAAAAGUUGCCUCUGUAUGACUUGGACGUCAUGUGUUCAAGCCGCGGAAAUAGACUCCUGUAGAAAGAAAGGUAAGACUGCGUAGAUAAGACUCAAUGUGGUUCGACUUUUUCUUGGACCCUACAUAUAGUGGGAGCUUAAUCUUCGGAAUUUGAUAAUGUAAAUGCCCCUAAACAAAAACUCCUGGCUCUUUAAAAAUAGGAUGAGGACUACUUGUCUUUCCCUAAUUUUUGCACUUUCUUUUCUUUAAAAAUGAGUUAGCUAGUGAAGUUCACAACUUGACUUACAAUGGCUGCACUCAAUUUCUUCAUAAUCUUCACAUCACUAGUCUUACCAAUUGCAUCUGAUCCUCUGUUGUCAACUUAUGUUGUCCAUGUUGACACCAAAGCCAAGCCAUCUCAUUACUUAACUCAAGAUGAAUGGUAUAAUUCAGUGGUUGAGUCAGUUCUUGCAAACAAAAUGGACUCAGAUUCUACUUCUCCAAGAUUGUUCUACUCAUAUGAUGUAGUGUUACAAGGUUUUGCAGCAAGAUUGACUGAUCAAGAAUCUGAAAAACUAAAUAAAUUUCCAGAAGUCAUUCACAUUUUCAAAGAUCAGUCUAGAAUCAAGCUUGACACAACACGUUCGCCGAAUUUUCUUGGCCUAAACACAGGUUAUGGUCUGUGGCCACAAUCUAACUUUGGAGAUGAUGUUAUAAUUGGCCUUGUUGAUACAGGGAUUUGGCCUGAGAGUGAGAGUUUCAAGGACAAUGGUAUUGGUCCUAUUCCAACAAGGUGGAAAGGUAAAUGUGUUGAUGGAAUUGAAUUCAACGCGACGAGUAGUUGUAACAGAAAACUUAUUGGUGCUAGGAAUUUCGUUAAGGGUGUUGAGAAUGACUAUCAUCAUCAAUCGGCACGAGAUCAAAAUGGACAUGGAACACAUACUGCUUCAACUGCAGCAGGUACAGAGGUAAAUGGUGCCAAUGUAUUUGGUUUUGCUAAAGGGAAAGCACGAGGGAUUGCGAGUAAAGCUAGGAUUGCAAUGUACAAAGCUUGUGGGAGUAGUUCUUGUGCAGAAUCUGAUAUUUUAGCAGCUAUUGAAAGUGCUAUAAAAGAUGGCGUAGACAUACUUUCGCUCUCUUUAGGAUACGAUGAUGCUCCGUUUUAUGAAAAUCCAGUGGCAAUUGCAACAUUUGCUGCUGUUAAAAGGAACAUAUUUGUUGCUUCUUCAGCUGGAAAUCUUGGACCUUAUCCAUUUUCAGUUCACAAUACAGCACCUUGGGUUACAACAGUUGGAGCUGGAUCACUUGAUCGCGAUUUCCCCGUUGAAAUCAACUUAUCAAACAACAAGACUUUUGUUGGUUCUUCUCUUUAUCCAGGGAGAAUCAGUGGUAAAAGUUACUCUCUUGUUUAUAUUGAAAAUUGUUCUAUAAUGACAAUCGAUCGUUCUAAAGUUGAACGAAAGAUUGUAGUUUGCAACACUAGUAAAAUCGAAGCUCUUAGAAAUGGGAUUUUAAUUCAGAAAGCAGGUGGUUUUGGACUGAUUCAAUUAAAUCUUCCAACUGAAGGAGAAGGGAUUAGAGCAAUGGCUUACACAUUGCCUUCUGCAACAUUGGGUUAUAAAGAAGGUAUAGAGCUUCUUUCUUAUAUCAAAUCCAAUGCUAAUCCAAGAGCAGGGUUCGUACGUCGAAAGGAUACAGUAAUUGGGAAAAAAGUUAGAGCUCCAAUUGUUGCUAGCUUUUCUUCAAGAGGGCCUAAUGUUGUUGUUCCUGAAGUCCUCAAACCUGACCUCAUUGCUCCGGGUUUGAACAUUCUUGCUGCAUGGCCAGGUAACCAGAGACGGAUCCAGGAUUUAUACCUUAUGCAUUCAACCUUUAUUCUUUACCAUUGACCCCACGACACUUUUAAACUUAUGAGGUAGGAAUUUUAUACUUUUUGAAAUUGUUGUGAUUUUUCAUAUUGCGUGGAAGCAACCACUAAUGCUUAUGGUAGGAUAGGCUGUCUACAUCACACUCCUUAAGUGCGGCCCUUCGCCCGACCCUGCGUGAGCAAGGGAUACUUUAUGCACUAGUCUACCGCUUUUCUUUAUUUAGUGAUUCUUCACAUUGUGUGUGUCUAUGCAGGUGACAUUUCCCCAACACGUCUCAAGAUGGAUCCAAGGAGAGUGAAGUUCAAUAUAAACUCGGGAACAUCAAUGGCGUGCCCUCACAUAGCCGGAGUAGCUGCAUUAGUCCGCGCUGUUCAUCCAGAUUGGUCCCCGGCUGCUAUAAAAUCCGCACUCAUGACUACAUCCACAGCAUUCGACAAUGCACAACUCCCUAUCAUAAAACACGAAGACAUGGAGCUAGCAACUCCGAUCAGCAUUGGAGCCGGGCACGUGAACCCUGAAUCGGCUAUUGAUCCGGGCCUAAUAUACGACACUGAUACAUCAGACUACAUCAACCUACUAUGCAGCUUGAAUUACACAGAGAAACAAAUGAAACUUUUCACGAACGAGUCAAAUCCUUGCUCGGGUUUCACUGGAUCUCCACUUGAUCUUAACUAUCCAUCACUUUCUGUUAUGUUCAGGCCUGAUUCCUAUGUUCAUGUAGUUAAGAAGACACUGACACAUGUCGCGGUAUCUAAGCCCGAGGUGUACAAAGUAAAGAUAGUGAAUCUGAAUUCUGAAAAGGUGAGUUUAAGUAUAGAGCCAAGGAAGCUGAUUUUCAAUGAAUCUUUACAGAAACAAAGCUAUGUGGUCAAAUUUGAGAGCCAUUAUGCAUUCAACAGCAGCAGGAAAAUAGCUGAGCAAAUGGCGUUUGGUUCGAUAUUGUGGGAGAGUGAAAAGCACAAUGUUAGGAGCCCCUUCGCUGUUAUGUGGGUUCAGCAAAAUUUCAAUAACAGUAGAUUAUACAAAUAACUUAAUAUGUACAUUGUUGUAUGUGUUAUAUCAUCGUACCUCUAGCCUCCGAAUAUGUACUAUGUUGUAUCAUCGUACCUCUAGCCUCCGAGUAUGUAUUAUGUUGUAUGUGUUGUAUUAUCGUACCUCUAACCUCUGAGUAUGUACUAUGUAGCAUCAUCGUACCUCUAGCCUCCGAGUAUGUACUAUGAUAUUUCAUCGUACCUCUAGCAUCCGAGUAUGUACUAUGUUGUAUUAUGGUACGUCUAGCCUCCCUUGUGAUUUGGUAGUUGUUACAAAGACGAUAUCUUUAUGUCUACUAAAGUAUGUCCAGGUGCUAAUCCACGAAAAAACAAGGGGACUAUUUUGGCUAAAUAAAGAUAAUGGAACUGAAUCCAACUGUAAUUUACACAGGUUUUGCUUAUAAGAAAGGGUUAUUCACAGAGCUGUUCAGCCUUGUAUAUCAGGAGCAAUCCAAUUUUAAAAAUGAGUACAAAAAAGUACAAGGGAGUACCACAAGUCUGGUUUAUGGAUUCUGCCAAUUAUAAUAAGAAAAGUAUAGCUCGCAUAUNNNNNNNNNNNNNNNNNNNNNNNNNUCGUAUAUAUAUAUAUGUUUUGCGAAUUUUCUGCUUUCCAAUAUCUACAGAGGAUAAUCUGGUAGAUUUAUUGUGUGUUUUACUGUUGGAUGAGGGAUUUAUAAGCUCCUAUCAAUGAAAACGUUUUAUUGACGGACACAAAUCGAUGUUUUACUUGUCUGCCGUCCUUCCUACUGGUCAAUGUCACACCCCUUUUUACCCCUCCAAAAGAUAUGUAAUGUUAUGGAUUGUGGGUCUUUUCCAAUUAAAGUGACAAAUUCGAGUAAGGAUUGUUUUAUUUACAGAGUCGUCACUUGGAAUUUAAUUUUUUGGGUGUUCCAAGUCACCUUUUAUUUGAAAUCCCUAUUCAAAAGAAAUUUGACCAUAUUAUUAUUGGUCUGCGAAAACAAAGUCCAUGUAAAAAAUUCUGUUGACCGGAGAGAAGGUGUAAGGCAUUCUCCGAGUCUCGUGGUUCUAGCACGGUCGCUUUAUUGACUAUAUUUGGCUAAUAUUAUUUUGAAUAAAUUGUGUUUUAUUUGGUUCUCAUAUUUUUACCUAUGCCCACUUUCAUCGCUUGAUUAUUAUUGAAAGACAAAAUUACAUUGUAAAUAACGUUAUAAUUUUAUUAUGACUUUGCAGUUAAGGUCAAGUUACAUAAGAGUGCACUCGAAUUUGGAAAUAUGUACCAUAAUUAUGCCACAGGAACUGUACUCAUAGUCACGAUAAUUUAUUAUUGGCCGCAUUUAAAGUAUACCACAAUAUUCAAAGUAAUUUAAUUAUUUGCUAAGUUUGGAAUUAUUAUGAGGCUCUAAGGUUACAUGGUAGAAUUAUGAAAAAGGUAAGAUUGAUUAUUAAAGAUUACUGGAGAUGUCAAUUAUGCCGGGUAUAGUAAGAUGAUGCGACUAGCAAAUAAAUUCUACUUAUUCAUUUUUUUAUCUAGAUUUAAUUCUUGACGAAGAAAAUUAAUGGAAUGAAAUAAAAAUUCAUGCUAAACUCCAACGUGAUCUCUACCAAAUUAAGCAGUAGCUUAUUUGACUUUUCCAAUUCAUGAUUAAUACUCACACCUAACAUAAAGCCAUAAGGACCUCACUUGACAAGAAUAACUAUUAAACAACAUAUGCACUUAGUAAAAGAUUGAUUCAAAACACGAUAGAAUUUGUCAUUGAUGAAACAAAGAGCAAUAAACCAACUCAAACAUUCAUAUUGAUUCAAUAGUUAAAUAACACACCACAUAAUCACAACGAUAAUUCAAAACAUGAAACUUUAGUAGAAAUACUGAUAAGAGCAUGGAAACGAACCUGGAAUAUGCAACUGUUUUCAAAUAUAUUGAUAAGAAAAGAUCUCUGAUUGGUACAUAACCUCGUUCAAAGUGAAGAGAUCCAGAAACAAAAAUGAGACCUUUAUCGUCAACUCCUAACUGACCGCACGCCGGAACCUCGAACCAAGAUCUCGUCGGAGACUUUUCCCGAACUGUUUUCACUCAAUUUUUAGCGACCAAGAGUGACUUUUUUCUGUUGGUUUUGUGAUGUUUGCGAGCUGGUUUUUGGAGGGAGAAUCGAUGUCCCUUUUUUUUAGUUUUGGAGCUGAAAGAUUGGCAUUAAUGGAGGCAGGUUUUGCAACUAUUUUGCUGCAUUUUUGGGACAACUUUUGCUGUAAUUUCGGGCUGCUUCUUUGUUUGUAGGUGAAGGUCUAAAGUGGAUCUUGUAUUUUUUUUAGAAGAAGAUCGACGUGGGGAGGAUGUCUUUUCUACGUGUGCUCGUUUAUGUCUGAAUGAAGAAGGUGAGGUUUAAGCCCUUUUUUCUUUUGAAUGUGAAGGAGAGGCCAGAGUCAAAAAAGUGUGUGCUGUGCGUUAUCUUUUGUGAGUCAAAAAGUGUGUGACGUGCAUGGUCUUUUUGUGCCCAUUCAAAAAAUCACAAUAAUAUGGUGCCUUUUAGUCAAAAACGUGAUGGGAGGGAGUAAAUCCAAAAGUUGUUAAAGUCCAAAUGGUCCCACUAAAUUGAAAAACAUAUCCCAUAAUUUGUUCUGGAAAAGAUUCUCUUCUAUAAAAUGGUAUAAAUGAAUUGAAGAGACUAUUUUAUUUUAUUUUUUGGAAAUUUUAAAGAAUAAGAGACAAAAUAGAGUAGUAGACCACGUGAGAGAGUGUAGGAUUU
RNAcentral lists this long non-coding RNA (10501 nucleotides) under Nicotiana tabacum (common tobacco). RNAcentral describes it as "long non-coding RNA (NTAB_LNC002164)". The record is from RNAcentral. Lineage: Eukaryota; Viridiplantae; Streptophyta; Magnoliopsida; Solanales; Solanaceae.